RNAcentral lists this ribosomal RNA (816 nucleotides) under Phaeocystis globosa. RNAcentral describes it as "eukaryotic LSU rRNA". It matches the Rfam family "Eukaryotic large subunit ribosomal RNA", at positions 251 to 1104 of the family's 3401-position model. The record is from RNAcentral. Lineage: Eukaryota; Haptophyta; Phaeocystales; Phaeocystaceae.
GUGCUCUCGUAGAGUCGGGCUGCUUGGGAGUGCAGCCUGAAGCGGGUGGUAAAUUCCAUCUAAAGCUAAAUACUGGCGGGAGACCGAUAGCGAACAAGUACCGUGAGGGAAAGAUGCAAAGAACUUUGAAAAGAGAGUUAAAGAGUGCUUGAAAUUGGCAGGAGGAAACCCGGUUGCGCGUGGCAUUUGGCGUGGUCGACUCAGCCGCGCGCGGAGAUCUGUAGGGGACCUAACGGCCUCGUGGUCAGCGCGCGCGGUGCACUUCGGCCGCGUCGGUCAGCCGCGUUUCUGCGCGGCCCAUACGGCCGCGGGCAGGGCUUCGGCGCCGCCUGCGGUUUGGGGGUCGCGCGGGAUCCCGGCUGAUGCGCACGGGCGCAACCGACCCGUCUAGAAACACGGACCAAGGAGUCUGACGCGUGUGCGAGUACUAGAGUGGCAAGCUCGAGUGCGCAAUGAAAGUGAAGGGCGUGCCCCGUCAACCGAUCUUGAUCUUCUGUGAAGGGUUUGAGUGGAGCACAUCUGUCGGGACCCGAAAGAUGGUGAACUAUGCCUGAGGAGGGUGAAGCCAGAGGAAACUCUGGUGGAGGCUCGUAGCGAUACUGACGUGCAAAUCGUUCGUCGAACUUGGGUAUAGGGGCGAAAGACUAAUCGAACCAUCUAGUAGCUGGUUCCCUCCGAAGUUUCCCUCAGGAUAGCUUGAACGCCGACGGUUUUGUCAGGUAAAGCGAAUGAUUAGAGGCCUUGGGGCUGAAACAGCCUUAACCUAUUCUCAAACUUUAAAUGGGCAAGAGGCGCCGGAUGCUUGACUGAUCCGGC